AGAGUUUGAUCCUGGCUCAGGAUGAACGCUGGCGGUAUGCGUAACACAUGCAAGUCGAACGAAGUUUUUCGGAACUUAGUGGCGGACGGGUGAGUAACGCGUGAGAAUCUGCCUUAAGGAUUGGGACAACAGUGGGAAACCGCUGCUAAUACCAAAUAUGCCUUUUAGUGAAACGGGUAAAACCGCCUUAAGAUGAGCUCGCGUCUGAUUAGCUAGUUGGUGUGGUAAGAGCGCACCAAGGCAACGAUCAGUAGCUGGUCUGAGAGGACGACCAGCCACACUGGGACUGAGACACGGCCCAGACUCCUACGGGAGGCAGCAGUGAGGAAUUUUCCGCAAUGGGCGAAAGCCUGACGGAGCAAUACCGCGUGAGGGAGGAAGGUUCUUGGAUUGUAAACCUCUUUUCUCAGAGAAGAAUAAUGACGGUAUCUGAGGAAUAAGCAUCGGCUAACUCCGUGCCAGCAGCCGCGGUAAUACGGAGGAUGCAAGCGUUAUCCGGAAUGAUUGGGCGUAAAGGGUCUGUAGGUGGUUGUUCAAGUCUGCUGUUAAAGCGUCUGGCUUAACCAGAUAAAGGCGGUGGAAACUGAACGACUAGAGUGCGGUAGGGGUAGAGGGAAUUCCCAGUGUAGCGGUGAAAUGCGUAGAUAUUGGGAAGAACACCUGUGGCGAAAGCGCUCUACUGGACCGCGACUGACACUGAUGGACGAAAGCUAGGGGAGCGAAUGGGAUUAGAUACCCUGGUAGUCC
RNAcentral lists this ribosomal RNA (747 nucleotides) under uncultured cyanobacterium. RNAcentral describes it as "bacterial SSU rRNA". It matches the Rfam family "Bacterial small subunit ribosomal RNA", at positions 8 to 796 of the family's 1533-position model. Lineage: Bacteria; Bacillati; Cyanobacteriota. The record is from RNAcentral.